GUGCCAGCAGCCGCGGUAAUACGAACCGUCCAAACGUUAUUCGGAAUCACUGGGCUUACAGAGUUCGUAGGCGGCGGAGAAAGUAGGGUGUGAAAGCCCUCGGCUCAACCGAGGAAUUGCGCCCUAAACUACUUCGCUUGAGGAGGCUAGAGGUGAGCAGAACUGAUGGUGGAGCGGUGAAAUGCGUUGAUAUCAUCAGGAAUACCGGAGGCGAAGGCGGCUCACUGGGACCUUUCUGACGCUGAGGAACGAAAGCUAGGGGAGCGAACGGGAUUAGAUACCCCGGUAGUCC
This 292-nucleotide ribosomal RNA is filed under the name uncultured bacterium. RNAcentral's name for it is "partial 16S ribosomal RNA". It matches the Rfam family "Bacterial small subunit ribosomal RNA", at positions 505 to 796 of the family's 1533-position model. The record is from RNAcentral.